This 253-nucleotide ribosomal RNA is filed under the name uncultured bacterium. RNAcentral's name for it is "partial 16S ribosomal RNA". It matches the Rfam family "Bacterial small subunit ribosomal RNA", at positions 524 to 776 of the family's 1533-position model. The record is from RNAcentral.
UACAGAGGGUGCAAGCGUUGUUCGGAAUUACUGGGCGUAAAGCGUGCGCAGGCGGUUAUGCAAGACAGAUGUGAAAUCCCCGGGCUCAACCUGGGAACUGCAUUUGUGACUGCAUGGCUAGAGUACGGUAGAGGGGGAUGGAAUUCCGCGUGUAGCAGUGAAAUGCGUAGAUAUGCGGAGGAACACCGAUGGCGAAGGCAAUCCCCUGGACCUGUACUAACGCUCAUGCACGAAAGCGUGGGGAGCAAACAGG